AUUGAACGCUGGCGGCAUGCCUUACACAUGCAAGUCGAACGGCAGCACGGGGGCAACCCUGGUGGCGAGUGGCGAACGGGUGAGUAAUACAUCGGAACGUGCCUAGUAGUGGGGGAUAGCCCGGCGAAAGCCGGAUUAAUACCGCAUACGACCUACGGGUGAAAGCGGGGGAUCGCAAGACCUCGCGCUAUUGGAGCGGCCGAUGUCAGAUUAGGUUGUUGGUGAGGUAAAAGCUCACCAAGCCGACGAUCUGUAGCUGGUCUGAGAGGACGACCAGCCACACUGGGACUGAGACACGGCCCAGACUCCUACGGGAGGCAGCAGUGGGGAAUUUUGGACAAUGGGGGCAACCCUGAUCCAGCCAUGCCGCGUGCGGGAAGAAGGCCUUCGGGUUGGAAACCGCUUUUGUCAGGGAAGAAAUCUCUUGGGCCAAUACCCCAGAAGGAUGACGGUACCUGAAGAAUAAGCACCGGCUAACUACGUGCCAGCAGCCGCGGUAAUACGUAGGGUGCAAGCGUUAAUCGGAAUUACUGGGCGUAAAGCGUGCGCAGGCGGUCUUGCAAGACAGGUGUGAAAUCCCCGGGCUUAACCUGGGAACUGCACUUGUGACUGCAAGGCUGGAGUACGGCAGAGGGGGAUGGAAUUCCGCGUGUAGCAGUGAAAUGCGUAGAUAUGCGGAGGAACACCGAUGGCGAAGGCAGUCCCCUGGGCCUGUACUGACGCUCAUGCACGAAAGCGUGGGGAGCAAACAGGAUUAGAUACCCUGGUAG
RNAcentral lists this ribosomal RNA (770 nucleotides) under uncultured beta proteobacterium. RNAcentral's name for it is "bacterial SSU rRNA". It matches the Rfam family "Bacterial small subunit ribosomal RNA", at positions 28 to 793 of the family's 1533-position model. The record is from RNAcentral. Lineage: Bacteria; Pseudomonadati; Pseudomonadota; Betaproteobacteria.